AAAUAGAAAAGGGCACAUGACGGAUGCCUUGGUUCAAGGAGGCGAUGAAGGACGUGAUACGCUGCGAUAAGCUAAGGGGAGGUGCGAAUAACCUUUGAUCCUUAGAUUUCCGAAUGGGGUAACCCACCGGUUUACCGGUACGUGCAGCUGAAUACAUAGGCUGCUCGAGCGAACGUAGGGAAGUGAAACAUCUCAGUACCUACAGGAAAAGACAUCAACAGAGAUUCCCCUAGUAGUGGCGAGCGAACGGGGAGCAGGCCAGUGAUUCUCAAGUUAAAAGCAGAACUGUUUGGAAAAGCAGACCAUAGUGGGUGAUAGUCCCGUAUGCGGUGAUUAAUUUGAGAAUACUUGAGUAGAGCCGGGCACGUGAAACCCGGUUUGAAUAUGGGGGGACCAUCCUCCAAGCCUAAAUACUACCUUGAGACCGAUAGUGAACUAGUACCGUGAGGGAAAGGUGAAAAGCACCCCGAAAGGGGGAUGAAAUAGAUCCUGAAAUCAUGUGCCUACAAGCAGUCGGAGCUCCCGUAAGGGGGUGACGGCGUACCUUUUGUAUAAUGGGUCAGCGAGUGAUUCUGACGUGCAAGCUUAAGCCAACAGGUGUAGGCGCAGCGAAAGCGAGUGUUAAUAGCGCGUUUAGUACGUCGGAUUCGACCCGAAACUAGGUGAGCUAACCAUGAGCAGGUUGAAGGUGGGGUAAUACCCACUGGAGGACCGAACCGGUAACCGUUGAAAAGGUUUCGGAUGACUUGUGGUUAGGGGUGAAAGGCCAAUCAAACCUAGUGAUAGCUGGUUCUCCGCGAAAACUAUAGAGGUAGUGCCUCGGAAUUUAGACCCGCAGGGGUAGAGCACUGGAAAGGCUAGGGGGACAUACCGUCUUACCAAACCUUACCAAACUCCGAAUACUGCGGCGUUAUGUCCGGGAGACAGACAGUGGGUGCUAACGUCCAUUGUCGAGAGGGAAACAACCCAGACCACCAUCUAAGGUCCCUAAAUAUUAGCUAAGUGUAUAAGCAGGUGCAGUUGCUUUGACAACCAGGAUGUUGGCUUAGAAGCAGCCAUCAUUCAAAGAAAGCGUAACAGCUCACUGGUCGAGCGACUGUGCGGCGAAAAUGUAUCGGGGCUAAAGCUAAUUACCGAAGUUGUGGACGAAUUUAUUCGUGGUAGCGGAGCGUUCCGUAAGCCUGUGAAGGUGUGCUGUGAGGCAUGCUGGAGGUAUCGGAAGUGAGAAUGCUGACUUGAGUAGCGAUUAGACGGGUGAGAACCCCGUCCGCCGAAUUCCCAAGGGUUCCUGUCCCAUGUUAAUCAGGGCAGGGUGAGCCGGUUCCUAAGGUGAGGCCGAAAGGCGUAGCCGAUGGCAAGCAGGUGAAGAUUCCUGCGCUAGUGGUGUGUGACGGAUUGCAUAAAUUGUUCGGGAUAAUUGGAUUUCUCCGGGCAGUGAAGCGGUUCCAGGAAAGAGCACCCACAUUGAGCCGUACCCGAAACCGACACAGGUGGGAAGGUAGAGUAUACCAAGGCGUUGAGAGAACUAUGGUUAAGGAACUCGGCAAAUUGCACGCGUAACUUCGGGAUAAGCGUGCCCGGUUGUAGCGCAAGCUAUGGCCGGGGGCACAUAAGAGGGGGUGGCAACUGUUUAUCAAAAACACAGGGCUCUGCAAACUCCAAAGAGGAAGUAUAGGGUCUGACGCCUGCCCGGUGCUGGAAGGUUAAGAAAAGCUGUUAACGCAGUGGAUUGAAGCCCCAGUAAACGGCGGCCGUAACUAUAACGGUCCUAAGGUAGCGAAAUUCCUUGUCGGGUAAGUUCCGACCCGCAUGAAUGGCGUAAUGAUCUCCCCACUGUCUCAACCAUAGACUCAGCGAAAUAGAAUUCCUCGUGAAGAUGCGGGGUACCCGCGGCUAGACGGAAAGACCCUAUGAACCUUUACUGUAGCUUUACAGUGGGCUUAGGAAAUGCUUGUGCAGAAUAGGUAGGAGGCGAUGAAGCCAAGGCGUCAGCUUUGGUGGAGCCAUCUUUGAGAUACUACCCUGGCAUUUCUUGAGUUCUAACCUCGCACCGAACCGGUGCAGGGACCCUGUAUGGUGGGCAGUUUGACUGGGGCGGUCGCCUCCCAAAGAGUAACGGAGGCGCUCGAAGUUCGGCUCAGGACGGUUGGAAACCGUCUCUCGAGUGUAAUGGCAAAAGCCGGGCUGACUGCAAGAGGGACACCUCGAGCAGGUGGGAAACCAGGACAUAGUGAUCCGGUGGUUCCGCAUGGAAGGGCCAUCGCAAACGGAUAAAAGGUACUCUAGGGAUAACAGGCUGAUCGCAUCCAAGCGUCCAUAGCGACGAUGCGGUUUGGCACCUCGAUGUCGACUCAUCACAUCCUGGGGCUGGAGCAGGUCCCAAGGGUUCGGCUGUUCGCCGAUUAAAGUGGUACGUGAGUUGGGUUCAAAACGUCGUGAGACAGUUUGGUCCCUAUCUACCGUGGGUGUAGGAGUGUUGAGAAGAGUUGCCCUUAGUACGAGAGGACCGGGGCGAACACACCUCUGGUGUAUCUGUUGUGGCGCCAGCCGCAUUGCAGAGUAGCUAUGUGUGGACGGGAUAACCGCUGAAAGCAUCUAAGCGGGAAGCCUCCUUCAAAACCAGCACUCCCAAUAAGACCGUUGUAGACUACGACGUUGAUAGGUCAGGUGUGUAAGUGCAGCAAUGCAUUGAGCUAACUGAUACUAAUGAUCUGAUUGUUUUG
This 2723-nucleotide ribosomal RNA is filed under the name Alphaproteobacteria bacterium. RNAcentral's name for it is "23S ribosomal RNA". It matches the Rfam family "Bacterial large subunit ribosomal RNA". The record is from RNAcentral. Lineage: Bacteria; Pseudomonadati; Pseudomonadota; Alphaproteobacteria.